This 871-nucleotide ribosomal RNA is filed under the name uncultured Halobacteria archaeon. RNAcentral describes it as "bacterial SSU rRNA". It matches the Rfam family "Archaeal small subunit ribosomal RNA", at positions 392 to 1260 of the family's 1478-position model. The record is from RNAcentral. Lineage: Archaea; Methanobacteriati; Methanobacteriota; Halobacteria.
GGCAUAUAGCCCUCGCUUUUCUGUACCGUAAGGUGGUACAGGAACAAGGACUGGGCAAGACCGGUGCCAGCCGCCGCGGUAAUACCGGCAGUCCGAGUGAUGGCCGAUAUUAUUGGGCCUAAAGCGUCCGUAGCUUGCUGUGUAAGUCCAUUGGGAAAUCGACCAGCUCAACUGGUCGGCGUCCGGUGGAAACUACACAGCUUGGGGCCGAGAGACUCAACGGGUACGUCCGGGGUAGGAGUGAAAUCCUGUAAUCCUGGACGGACCACCAAUGGGGAAACCACGUUGAGAGACCGGACCCGACAGUGAGGGACGAAAGCCAGGGUCUCGAACCGGAUUAGAUACCCGGGUAGUCCUGGCUGUAAACAAUGCUCGCUAGGUAUGUCACGCGCCAUGAGCACGUGAUGUGCCGUAGUGAAGACGAUAAGCGAGCCGCCUGGGAAGUACGUCCGCAAGGAUGAAACUUAAAGGAAUUGGCGGGGGAGCAUCACAACCGGAGGAGCCUGCGGUUUAAUUGGACUCAACGCCGGACAUCUCACCGGUCCCGACAGUAGUAAUGACGGUCAGGUUGACGACUUUACUCGACGCUACUGAGAGGAGGUGCAUGGCCGCCGUCAGCUCGUACCGUGAGGCGUCCUGUUAAGUCAGGCAACGAGCGAGACCCGCACUUCUAGUUGCCAGCAAUACCCUUGAGGUAGUUGGAUACACUAGGAGGACUGCCAUUGCUAAAAUGGAGGAAGGAACGGGCAACGGUAGGUCAGUAUGCCCCGAAUGGACCGGGCAACACGCGGGCUACAAUGGCUCUGACAGUGGGAUGCAACGCCGAGAGGCGACGCUAAUCUCCAAACGGAGUCGUAGUUCGGAUUGCGGG